GACGAGCCACACGAACGUUUAUUCGGAAUUACUGGGCGUAAAGAGCGCGCAGGCGGUCGUUCAAGUCGCGUGUGAAAGCCCCCCGGCUCAACUGGGGAGGGUCACGCGAUACUGAUCGACUCGAAGGCAGGAGAGGGAAGUGGAAUUCCCGGUGUAGUGGUGAAAUGCGUAGAUAUCGGGAGGAACACCAGUGGCGAAGGCGACUUCCUGGCCUGUUCUUGACGCUGAGGCGCGAAAGCUAGGGGAGCAAACGGG
This 255-nucleotide ribosomal RNA is filed under the name uncultured bacterium. Its description in RNAcentral is "partial 16S ribosomal RNA". It matches the Rfam family "Bacterial small subunit ribosomal RNA", at positions 524 to 776 of the family's 1533-position model. The record is from RNAcentral.